RNA transcript from Ornithorhynchus anatinus (platypus), 1540 nucleotides. It is a transcript of the gene named pollen-specific leucine-rich repeat extensin-like protein 1, with no coding region annotated. NCBI's taxonomy places the organism in Eukaryota, Metazoa, Chordata, Mammalia, Monotremata, Ornithorhynchidae. The transcript is spliced from 3 exons. The record is from RefSeq and is a predicted model, not a curated record.
GGCUCCUACUGAGGGCUCCCGCUGGGGGAGGCGGAGUCGGGAUCUAGCAGGGUGCAGGAGCAUCUAUAAAUACCCAGGCUCCCGAUGGCAGGGGUAGCAGCCAUGCCCAACCAGUGCCCCAGUAGGGGAGGAGAGCACAGAGCUGGACAGGAGUCUGGGGAGACAGAGCUGGGGCUUCCUGGCCCGGAAGUUCAGGGCUGGCCAGCUAGUUCCCUGAGCCCAGGCUGGACUGACUCUGCUGAGGAGCCCCAGACCUGGGUGACCUGGAAGAGACUGCUGCUGUCCCAGAACACCAGGCAGCUCACACCCACUGCAAGCCCUCCCCCCCUUCACCCCAAGCCAGCAGCUGUCUAGGAGCAAAGAAUCUCCACAUGCCGAGAGACCUCUCCAGGAAGAUCUGCAGCCUGUGCUGAGCCUCUGGUGGGCUUUUCCCAAGGGCAGAUGCUUGGGGCACCUGCACUGGCACCUCUAUCUCCUCUACCUCGGCCUCCAUCUCCUCCCUCAGCCUCCCCCUCCAUCUGAACCUCCACUUCCGCCUGUGUUUGAACCUCCACCUGCGCCUGAGCCUGCACCUGCGACUCAGCCUCCACCUCCGCCUGCGACUGCAAGUCAGCCUCCGCUUCCACCUGCGCCUGCCCCUCAGCCUCCACCUGCGCCUCAACCUCAACCUCCACCUGAACCUCCACCUCCACCUGAACCUCUGCCUCUACUGGUGCCUCAGCCUUCACUUUCACCUCCAUCUCAGCCUCCACCUGAAAUUCCACCUCCACCUGAACCUCAGCCUCCACCUGAACCUCCGCCUCCAUCUGAACCUCCGCCUCCAUCUGAACCUCCGCCUCCCCCUGAAUCUCCACCAGCGCCUCCUCCUCCACCUCCGCCUCAGUCUCCAUGUAAAUCUUCACCUCCGCCUGCCCCUGAGCCUCCAUCUCCACCUGUGCCUCCACCUGCACCUCCACUCUGCAUUGUCUUGGCCUAUACUCAGCAAACCCCACCCCCUCAGGGCUCUUGGGAACCCGCCCCAGCCCAUUCCUUCUCCCCUCCUCCCUCUUGGUUGGGAGAUAAACUGAGGCCAGAGAGGGACACUUUAGGGGGACAGACACCCCCCCCCCCAUAACCCUGGGGGAGAACAAUGUUCAUCAGUCAGAGGAGAUUGAUGGGAGGCUUUUGUGAUGCAAAUUACAGCUGGGAGGGCAGUGGGGAGGGGGAGCCCCAGGGGCUAGCACUUGGGGGGAGCUGUGAGGUUGGGGCGGGGUAGUCACCCUGCAUAUUAACCCCUGGGUGACUGAUAAAGCCAUUGGCAUAGGUUUUCCUGGCACCUGUCUCCUCUCGCUAAAGACAACCAUAUCCAAUGUGCAAAUGGCUCCCAGCAUUUCAGCGUUACCAUGUCCAGUGCUUCCACUUCCACCUCCUGUUCUCUGGAGUUCUGGGCUCCUGAGGGAGUAGUGGCAGGCCAUUUCUGCCUCCCUCCCUUUCCCCCAUUCCCUCCCAUCGCUGGGGGCACGUAGAACCUCAUUGCCCAAACUGCUUUUCUGUUGAUUGC